Picea glauca (white spruce) is the source of this 121-nucleotide non-coding RNA. The record is from Rfam. NCBI's taxonomy places the organism in Eukaryota, Viridiplantae, Streptophyta, Pinopsida, Pinales, Pinaceae.
ACAUGCUUUCAACAUAGAGUUAAUGCAUUGGAUCCCAUUAGAACUUCAUAGUUAAGCGUGCUCGGGGAAGAGUAGUACUAGGAUCGGUGACUGCCUGGGAAUUCCUAGUAUUUUACAUGCC